Long non-coding RNA from Triticum aestivum (bread wheat), 225 nucleotides. RefSeq lists it as uncharacterized. The record is from RefSeq and is a predicted model, not a curated record. NCBI's taxonomy places the organism in Eukaryota, Viridiplantae, Streptophyta, Magnoliopsida, Poales, Poaceae. The transcript has 2 exons.
CGAGCACAUCAACUUCGCAUUCGUCUAGAUGCUCUUAUCUCCUCCAGGGUGAAGGGGGCGACGAGGGCGGCGCCGUCGACGCGCGGCUCACCGGCAGAUCUUAAGAUGUCCGAAUUCUUCAAUGUGCAUCGAUUUGCCACUCCGAUGUUAAAAGUGUCUGAAUUCUUCCAAGUAUGUUGAUGUGUCUGCGUCUUCAUCAUAGUAAGAAUUUAUCCUCCCACGCAU